AUGAUCCCGCUUUUCGACGGCACCACCGCACACACUUCUAGACCCACAGUUGGGCUGCCACCGCCGAGACCCCGUGCUUACCAUCAACAUGCAUGCGCGUCACCGAAAGAUUUGAGUCCCUCCACCAAUCAGAUCCCUAUUUCCGCAACCUCAAUCUUUGAUGACAACCCAACCUGCUCCGCCGUACACUAUGCGUCAUCAGAGCCGGAUCUGAACAUGUGA
Vicia faba (fava bean) is the source of this 222-nucleotide non-coding RNA. The record is from the annotation of a GenBank genome assembly. NCBI's taxonomy places the organism in Eukaryota, Viridiplantae, Streptophyta, Magnoliopsida, Fabales, Fabaceae.